CACUUUCCUCAUAAAAGCUUGAAAUUUGUUGUACUGUACUACCAUCAGGAUUGACAGUUCCUGAGAUUUAUUAGCUGCUUGCUUUUGAACAAAAUUUUGCUUUAAAAAAUUAAAGGAGUUUUUCUUACAAAAUCAUGCUAUUUAGUACAACAUACGAGCUGGGUCUAUGAUACUAUUAAGUAUACUAUUGCCCCAGCCUUACUGAAAAUCCCUAGUCGAUGAAGUUGGGUUACUGAAAUUAUGUAUAUGUACCAGAAUCUAGGGCAAUAACAGCAUAUUUGGCCGAGAAAUACAAGGAAACGGGGUGUGAUCUCUUGAGGCACAAUGACCUCAAAGAAGCUGCAUUGGUGAAGGUGUGGUUGGAGGUUGAAUCCCAACAAUAUCAUCCGGCAAUAUACCAGAUUGUGUACCAGUUCUUCGUGUUGCCUCUACAAGGCAAGACGGCCGAUCAGGCCAUUAUUGAUGUAAAUCUGGAGAAGUUGGGUAAGGUUCUGGAUGUGUAUGAGGCCAGGCUGGGCACCACAAAGUGCCUAGCAGGAGAUUUCUACAGCUUGGCUGAUCUUCACCACCUUUCUUACACUUACUAUUUCAUGAAGACGCCAUGGGCUUCCCUCAUAAACAGCCGUCCCAAUGUGAAGGCAUGGUGGGAGGACAUUUCCUCAAGGCCAGCUUUCAAGAAAGUGGCUGAAGGCAUGACUUUUGGUGAGAAGUGAUCGGUUUCUGAGCAGUGUGGCUCUAUGUUUUGGGGUAAUAUUAAUUGUAGUGGUUGCUGCCUCUUAAUUACGUGUAUUUAAGUGUGAGACCACGUAAUAAUUACUGAUUAUGUGUUAUGAUUUGCCCUAAAUUAAUCAGAAAUGUGGAAUUAUCUGGGGUUUCUCAUUGUGGUAAUUAAUCUGCUUGCAACCAGUUUUUGAAAGGGUUUGAUGCAUUUUUACUCCAUACUUUGCUUUAGCUAGGGUUAUGUUGGUGUCUCUAAGGCAUAAUGCUUCCAUUUUUGAGUCAUUGCAUACUCAGAUCAAAGUUUUCAAGACUUGUAGAAAAUGGGUUUUGGUAUUUUCAUGAAAGAGAAUGAAAGGGCAAAUUUCUUCACAAGGCAUGUAGUAAGGGUUUUCCCUUUCAAUCAGUCUUUUUCCUGAGAAACAAACAGAAUGUAUAUCAUGCCGUGUCAUCCACUGUGACAGUUUUCCUCUGAAGAGUUUUACUGCAGUACUUCCUAUUUAUUCCCAUUUUUACUUCCCAAACGAGGUAAACACGUACUGUACUGCAGCUCUGGUUAUUUUCAUCAUCCUUGCUUGUCCAAAGCAGCUUCACUCUUUGAACCUAUUUUUAUUGUUAUAUAUAUAUAUAUAUUAGGUCAAAUUAAUCUUCCAAUUUUCUAACUCUAAGCCCUUGCAAAGAGUUUUUGUAGUAUCAUAUGUAUCUACUAUCAGUCAAGCAGAAACUGGAUAAUGUUCUAUAUACGCUUCAAUAAUUAUGGAUCCAGCAAAGGAGAUCUUUUGUUAUGCUACGGGUCUCUACUAAAAUCUGAGGCUGGAACCCACUUCAAUUAUUCACUCAUUUUGUUCUCAUAGAACCUUCAGCCAUGUGACCCUCACCCUCCAACUAACUUUCAACCACAUCUACCACCUUUCUUUCCUUUUUAUUUUUAUUUUUUAGUUUUGACCUAAUUCCAUCUAACUCUCAAAAUGUAUUCUAAAUCAUGCAUCACAGUCUCAAAAUAUAUGUAGGCCCUUCUCUCUAGAUUCUUGAUUCUAUAGUCUUGUACAACCCAAAUUUCUUAGACUCUAGUCUGAAUAAGCUUGAUAGACAUGAUUGUGCUUAUUAUUUAAUAAUUUAAGUUUUUCUUAUAGUAAUUAAUAGUUUAAUAUGAUAUAAUAAAAUUUCUUAUCUUAAUUAAUUUGUAAAAUUAUCUAGAUGAGAUAAAUAGAUAGUCCUAAUUUUUAACUCCAAAAAUUGAUUUUUUUUCUCAAUUAUAAAUUUUCUUAAUCCAAUGCGAGAUUCAAAUAUCAAAAUAAUAGCUAGUUUCAUAAGACACUUGAUGUAUGUGGAAAACCAUCAACAAUCAUGGGUUUGCAAAACAAAGUAAUUACUAAAUCUAAAAGAAUAAGUACACAAUUUUUAUCAAAAUUUGAUACUAUCUUCUCCCAAGGGUCUUAUGUUGGCACAUAUUUACACUUGUUUUCAUGUUUGAGAUGCAACACCUUAUACCCUUUAGGAAACUCCUCAACUACUUGAUAACAUAUAAUCAACCAUUAUGAUUUGAUCUCAAAUAAGAGUUAAGCGAUUGAAAAUGUAUGUGUAGUGAGUUUGAAAUGAGAAUGAUAGAGAAAUUGAACUUUUUCAUUAGACUUUAAAUGAAGCCAUUAAGGAAGAGAUCCACUCCCAAGAUUAAUUCAAGAUGGGGAUAUAAAAAUGGUAUCUUACCAUAAUGACGUCAUCCAUCAAACUUUAUAUGAAGAAGAUAAAUCCAUUGGUUGAACUCUUUAUAGAGGAAUAAUUGACUCUUUAUCAUUAAACAAUAUAUGUUUGUUUUCAACUUGCAAAGAAUCUUAUUCUAGUGCUAUUAAAAAAAUUCUUAAAUAUUUAAAAAGAAUAAUUAAACUAUGUUUGUGAUAUCAUGCAUACUAACUUUGAUCUAAUUAACUAAUUAAAAGUGGAUUUUCCGUUUGUAAAAGUAAUGGAAAUGUAUUAGUGGUACUUAUAAUGUUUGUUUUCAAUCUUACAAAGAAUCUUAUUUUAGUGCUAUUAAAAAUAUUCUUAAAUAUUUAAAAAGAAUAAUUAAACCACGUUUGUGGUAUCAUGCAUACUAACUUUGAUCUAAUUAACUAAUUAAAAAUGGGUUGUUCCAUUUGUAAAAGUAAUGGAAACGUAUUAGUGGUACUUCUAACUUUCUAGGCCACUCACUAGGUUUUGACAUAGUGAUCGAACCUUUGAUCAAUUGAGUUGUCGUGUGCGAUAUAUUUCAUAAUGACUAAUUGAUGCAUGGUGGUUUAGACUUAGUCUUAAUUGGUUGAGGACUUGUUGAUCAGAUGUUAAUCGAUUAAGGUUCUUGCACCUUAAUGAUUACCUCCAAGUGUACUUUUAUUUAAUAGCAUGUUUCUUAGUCCAUCGCCUAAUCCACUAAUUCAGCUAAAAAUGUGCCUAAGGGCUAGUUUCACUCUAGAACUCUUAUUUAAAACUUUCCAACCUUGAGCAAUCAUUGUAGCAAUUUAUUGAAUGGUUCUCUAGAAUACUCUUAUUCCCAAACUCGCAAGUCUCAUUUAGUCUACCUUAAUCUUAGUUUAUUUAUAUAUUUGAUCCUGAAUUUUGCAAACUAGAAAGCUUACUUUAAGAAAUUCACUCUUGUAUUCAUGAAAGAGUAUACUGAAAUGUAAGGGAUCACUUGAGGGCAUUGCAAAGGCAUAUUGGAAGCUUAAAUAUAAGUGUAAAAAAAUUAAAAGCAAAAUCUUAGCACUAGUGAAUGGACCUCAAGCUUAGAUUGAUGAAAGAGAGAGUGGAUAUAGGAGUUAUAGAACCAUUAUAAGUACUUUAUUGCAUCACUCUAUCCCUAUCUCUAUUAAUUUACUUGCACUAUAUUAAUUUUUAUAAUUUGCUUUUUAAUUUUCUAAAUUUUGCAAAAGAACUAACACCGAAUUCUCCUCCCCUCUUGGGUGUCUUCCUCAAGUGAACUCAACUAAUUUGCUUUUCAAUUUUCUAAAAUCAUGAAUCAAUGUAUCAUAAAGCAAAUCCACUAAUUUAAAAAGAAUUAAUACACGGUUUUACCUUAACCAUAUGUUAUCUUCCCCUAAUAAUCUUACACCAAUCAACACAUCCAUUUGUUUUCACGUUUGCAAUGCAAUAUAUGCUCCUUAGUAAACUCCUUAGCAAUUUGAGAUAAUACAAUCAACCAUCAUAAUUUAUCCUUUAAUUAAAGUUAAGUUUUCAGGAAUAUUGGAAACACACAUGAGAAUAACGACAAUUAUUUUCGAGAGCAUGUUGUUUUUUCAAUAUAAGGAGAAAAUCUUACUAAGUCUAUCCAAAUACAUUAAUUGAAAAAAAUAUAGAAUUAGAAAAUCAUGAAAAAAAAAAAACAAAUGGGUCCAAGGUAAACCGAUGUACUCCAUUUUGUCAUGAAUAUUCACUAAAAAUUACUCAACCGUACACAAGCUUGACACACAACAUUUCCCCACUACGUAAUAGCCAUUAAAUCAAAUGAAAAAUAAAAUCUCCAACGUUAAAUUAAGUUGACACCGUGUGCAUCCCUGGUUUCAUAAUGCAGAGUGAGAUGAAACAGAAUCGAUGCACAAGUACUGGGAAAUAAAAUUACCCAUCACGAGUCUAGAAAAUGGGUUCUGAUAUUUUCACAUAAGACAAUGUUGGAGGAUUCUAGGAAAAGAAAGAGAAUGCGGGAAAGGGAAAAUUCUUCACAUGCCUACAGCAUUUACGGCAUAAAGAACGUUUUCUUUCUCAAAGCAUGUGAUCUUUUUCCUGAGAACCAAACAGAUGGCAAAAGCAAGUUCCUGCUUGUCCAAAAAAACCCUGUACUCAUUGGACUAACAAAGCCUGAAUUAAAUAUGGGCCAUUUCGUACCUUCACCAUGGCCCAUUUCUUGUGAUGUUCUUUUGAAUAAAUUUAAGAAAUUACUGUUAGAAAUCAAAUAGAUUGAAUAAAUAUUUUAAUUUAUAAAAAAAUCAUCUUAAAUAAAUAACAAAUAAUAAAUAGGAGAAGGAAAAGAGAAAGUACGUAUAUUUGCAAUGUUACAUUACCUCACCUUAUCGUUUUCCAAAACUUAUAGUAAGCAAGAAUUGGAUUUACUUCUGCCUUCUAUUCUUCAUCAAUACAAUAUGAACGGUAGAGAAGUCCCUUGUUCUAAAGGAGCCGGGCAAGUCGAUUGAAACAAGCGAAUCGAGGUGGCCUGCAACUACCCUAAACAACACUGCAUAAGAAGCCAACAAACUAGUAUAUAACGCCCACCAUACCCUCUUCAUUUUCAGUACCACCUCACCAUCCUCCAUUCAUAUCGCCCAUUUUCACCCACCUCUUUCUCUCUCUCUCUCUCUCUCUCACUCUCUCAGUUUCUCAGUCUUUCAAUGGCGCUCAAGCUCCAUGGAAUUCCCAUGUCCACUUGCACCACUCGUGUCCUCACCUGUCUCCAUGAGAAAGGCUUGGAUUUUGAGCUUGUCCCUGUUAAUCUCUUUGCAGGUGAACAUAAGCAGCCUCCUUUUCUUGCCAAGAAUGUGAGUCUCACUUUCUUCUUUCUUUCUAAUCAUCUCUCUUUCUUCUCUCUGUAGAUUUUGCUUUCUUUGGGGUUGUAUAAAUUAUGAUUUUCCUUGGUUUGGGUACAUUGUUUUUAAUGUACAGUCUCGUCGAUUUGAUUUUGGUCUUGGUUUUGUUAUACAUAUAUGCAGCCCUUUGGACAGAUUCCAGUUCUGGAAGAUGGCGAUUUCACUCUUUUUGGUAAGUUCACGGUUUUAAUCACUUUCCUCAUAAGAGCUUGAAAUUUUUUGUACUGUACUACCAUCAGGACCGACAGUUCCUGAGUUUUAUCACCUGGUUGCUUUUCAACAAAAAUUUUCUUUCAAAAAUUUAAAGAGUUUUUCUAACAAAAUCAUGCUAUGUAGUACAUCAUAUCGAGCUCAUAUAUUAUUAUUUUGAUCAAUUUUAGACCAAUCAUUUUUCUGGAUAAUUUUCGUAGUUUUUUUAUUUCGCUUUCAUGUUAGUCAUGUUAGUCCAGGUUUACUGUAAAUCCCCGGUUGAUUUAGUUGGGUUAUUGAAAAAUUAUGUUUAUGUACCAGAAUCUAGAGCAAUAACAGCAUAUUUGGCCGAGAAAUACAAGGAAACGGGGUGUGAUCUCUUGAGGCACAAUGACCUCAAAGAAGCUGCAUUGGUGAAGGUAUGGUUGGAGGUUGAAUCCCAACACUACUAUCCUGCAAUAUACCAGAUUGUGUACCAGUUCUUCGCGUUGCCUCUACAAGGCAAGACGGCCGAUCAGGCCAUUAUUGAUGUAAAUCUGGAGAAGUUGGGUAAGGUUCUGGAUGUGUAUGAGGCCAGGCUGGGCACCACAAAGUGCCUAGCAGGAGAUUUCUACAGCUUGGCUGAUCUUCACCACCUUUCUUACACUUACUACUUCAUGAAGACGCCAUGGGCUUCCCUCAUAAACAGCCGUCCCAAUGUGAAGGCAUGGUGGGACGACAUUUCCUCAAGGCCAGCUUUCAAGAAAGUGGCUGAGGGCAUGACUUUUGGUGAGAAGUGAUCGGUUUCUGAGCAGUGUGGCUCUAUGUUUUGGGGUAAUAUUAAUUGUAGUGGUUGCUGCCUCUUAAUUACGUUUAUUUAAGCGUGAGACCACGUAAUAAUUACUGAUUAUGUGUUAUGAUUUGCCCUGAAUUAAUCAGAAAUGUGGAAUUAUCUGGGGUUUCUCAUCGUGGUAAUUAAUAUGCUUUCAACCAAUUUUUGAAGGGUUGGAUGCAUUUUUAGUCCAAGUACGAUAAUAUUAGUUAUCAUGUUAUAAGCACAAAUUUCAUUAAGUGCAACGUAAGCACAACAAUAGAAAAAUAUACAAAAUAAAAAUGAACUAAUUGUGGGAUACAAUGUCAAUGUUAAUAUUUUUUACAAAAUAAUAUUUUCUAUUUGAUUAUUUCAUUUUGAUAAGAUAUCAAAAACAAACAAUGAAAGUGUUUCCUUGAUUUUGAGAGUCAAUUAAAGACUUAAAGUGAUUUAUUUAUAAAUGACUUUGUCGAAAGAUAAAUAACACGUGUUAUUCUUUUGUGAUUUCUCAAACUUGUAGGAAAAUUUUGUGAAGCUUUAAGUCAAUUGAGGACCUAGAAUGACUUAUUUGUAAAUCACUUUGAUUAAAACAAUCUGAAAGCAGACGACGAAAGUGUUUUCUUGAUUUUGAAAAUCAAUCAAUGACCUAAAAUUGUUUAUUCUAAAAUGAUUUUGUAAAAAGGCAAAAAGCACGUGUGUAAUUCUUUUGCUAUUAAUUGAACUUACGGGAAGAUUUUAUGAAAUAUUUUCUUUUUUAUGAAUCUUCUUUCCACUCGUUUUGUCAAUUGAUUUGAAGUCGAUUAUUUGAUUUGGUAAUUUGUCUCAUUCAUUAAGAAAAUUUGCGAGCAAGAUAAUAUUUAUUUUAAAUUUCCUUUUACUUCAAUGGAAGAUUUGUUUCUUUUAGAAAUUUAUCAACAAUAGAAUAUGCAUGCAAUUGAAAAUUUUGAUUUUAUUUACAAGACUAAAUUUUGUAAUCUUUCAAAUUUCAUCCAGUAUCACUUUUUAAAUAUAUGUCAUAUGUCAAAUGUGUGUUGUUAGCCUCAAAUUUUGUUGAAUUGGGGAGCCAUAAUUUUGAAAUCAAUUUAGUUAUAAUUUAAUUCGCUAAAAAGUUUUGAUGUCUACAUAUGAAUAUAUCAGUCUUUAGAUUUUAUGGAUAUAUUGGAAUAUAUCAGGAAAUAUUAGUGAAUAUUUUGAAAAAAAUAUUGAGAAGAUGAAAAUUGAUCAAAACUCAUAAACAUAUAUGAGAAAAACUCUAAGAAAUGAUAAAAGUAAUAACAUAUAUUUUGAAAUUGUUUUGUUAAAGAAAUUGAUAUAUUUAUAAUAUAAUUUAUCAUAUCUAACAAUAAUAUCAUGUGCGCCAACAAGAAAUAUGAAAUUUGUAAAUGUAUAUUUAUUAUUAAGUUAUAUUAAAUAUUAGUCAACAACAAUAUUAUGAUAUUUAAUAAUAAUAUAUCCAACUAAAAAAUGUAUUUAAUAUUAAAACUAUAAUCUAUUUAAUGCAUUCAAUGAUAUAAAACAAAUAAUUAUAUAUAUUUAUAUUUUAAAAAUAUAUAUAAAAUUAUAUAAUAAUAAUCAUCAUCAUAAUCAUCAUCUCCAUCUCCAUCUUCUUCAUCAUCAUUAAAUCAGAGACAAGGAUUCAUUGUCCUAUACCUAAAAUUGGACAAUUAUGCUUUAGGGUUUUUAAAAAAAUGUUAUUGGUCCAAAGGAUGCCAAAGAUGUAUAAUUAAUGUAAAGCAUAUGAUAUGUUACUCCUUGAAAACAUAGGUAUAUACAAACAUAUUUCAUUUUUGGACCUAAUUAUACAUCUUUCGUAUCUUUUUUAUUUGUCGUUAGUAGCCAUAAUGGAUGACUAUCCCUUUAAAAUUUUGACCACCCUUGUCCGGAUGGUUUUUGCCAUGCCCUUAUUCAUUCAUUUAGAUAUUGUUUCACUCUUAUAAAAAAUAUUCUAGUUUAGCACUUUCUUGGGAUAUGCAAUUGCAUUCAAUUUCAAGGAACAUCAUGAUAUUUACCAUCUUUUAUGAUUUGGAGGGUUGUGUUUGUUUAUGAUAUCCUCCGAAUCUGGCGAAAUCCGAGGCAUAUGAACCAACCCCACCUCAAUCAUUCACCAACUUUUACUGUAAUUUACUAAUUUUGAGUCACGCUUUACCCUUCAAUAAACUUUCCACUCUCAUCGUCCUUCUACUCGUACACCUAAUUCUUUACUGUCACACUUUAAU
This 8459-nucleotide long non-coding RNA is filed under the name Vitis vinifera (wine grape). Its description in RNAcentral is "long non-coding RNA (VVIN_LNC002041)". Lineage: Eukaryota; Viridiplantae; Streptophyta; Magnoliopsida; Vitales; Vitaceae. The record is from RNAcentral.